This 184-nucleotide long non-coding RNA is filed under the name Mustela putorius furo (domestic ferret). RNAcentral's name for it is "lncRNA (ENSMPUG00000026725.1)". Lineage: Eukaryota; Metazoa; Chordata; Mammalia; Carnivora; Mustelidae. The record is from RNAcentral.
CUUUUCUAGCCGGAAGAGAAGGCAGGCCAGCGCCAUCUUUGCUGUGCCCAACAGUAACUAGAUGUGAGCUGUGGUAUCAACUAUGAAAACCGAUCGUGGUAUCCCUCCUGAAAUUUCUGUAGAUUGAUUGUGCUGGUUCAGCUCAGAUAAAAGGUCAGCAAAUGCAAAAGGAAACACCCAUAUG